This 28-nucleotide small RNA is filed under the name Bombyx mori (domestic silkworm). RNAcentral describes it as "ovarian small RNA-17966". Lineage: Eukaryota; Metazoa; Arthropoda; Insecta; Lepidoptera; Bombycidae. The record is from RNAcentral.
GUUCAAAUUGUUUUUACCAUCCAGGGUC